RNAcentral lists this ribosomal RNA (378 nucleotides) under uncultured bacterium. RNAcentral describes it as "bacterial SSU rRNA". It matches the Rfam family "Bacterial small subunit ribosomal RNA", at positions 29 to 399 of the family's 1533-position model. The record is from RNAcentral.
AACGAACGCUGGCGGCGCGCCUAAUACAUGCAAGUCGAGCGAGAAGACGUAGCAAUACGUUUGUAAAGCGGCGAACGGGUGAGGAAUACAUGGGUAACCUACCCUCGAGUGGGGAAUAACUAGCCGAAAGGUUAGCUAAUACCGCGUACGCUCCUUGGACUUCGGUUCAGGGAGGAAAGCGAUACCGUGGGUAUCGCGCUCUUGGAUGGGCUCAUGUCCUAUCAGCUUGUUGGUGAGGAACGGCUCACCAAGGCUUCGACGGGUAGCUGGUCUGAGAGGACGAUCAGCCACACUGGCACUGCGACACGGGCCAGACUCCUACGGGAGCAGCAGUAAGGAAUAUUGGACAAUGGGCGCAAGCCUGAUCCAGCCAUGCCG